CGGAACACGUACAGAACCUUCCUUUAAGCGGGGGAUAGCCCAUAGAAAUGUGGAUUAAUACCCCAUAGCAAUAUUUGGUGGCAUCAUUAGAUAUUUAAAGAUUUAUCACUUAAAGAUGGCUGUGCGGCUGAUUAGGUAGUUGGUGAGGGUAACGGCCCACCAAGCCAUCGAUCAGUAACUGGUGUGAGAGCACGACCAGUCACACGGGCACUGAGACACGGGCCCG
Molecule: ribosomal RNA, 226 nt
Filed under: uncultured bacterium
Lineage: Bacteria
Description: partial 16S ribosomal RNA
Rfam family: Bacterial small subunit ribosomal RNA
Source: RNAcentral